RNAcentral lists this ribosomal RNA (403 nucleotides) under uncultured bacterium. RNAcentral's name for it is "bacterial SSU rRNA". It matches the Rfam family "Bacterial small subunit ribosomal RNA", at positions 115 to 507 of the family's 1533-position model. The record is from RNAcentral.
GCGUAUGCAAUUCUACCUUUGCAGAGGGAUAGGCCCACGAGAAAAUUUUGGGAUUAAUACCUCAUAGUAUGUGAGAAUCGCAUGGUUUUCACAUUAAAGUUCCAACGGUAAAAGAUGAGCAUGCGGUCCCAUUAGCUAGAUGGUAAGGUAACCGGCUUACCAUGGCGACGAUGGGUAGGGGUCCUGAGAGGGAGAUCCCCCCACACUGGUACUGAGACACGGACCAGACUCCUACGGGAGGCAGCAGUGAGGAAUAUUGGACAAUGGGCGCAAGCCUGAUCCAGCCAUGCCGCGUGCAGGAUGACGGUCCUAUGGAUUGUAAACUGCUUUUGUACAGGAAGAAACACUCCCUCGUGAGGGAGCUUGACGGUACUGUAAGAAUAAGGAUCGGCUAACCUCCGUG